RNAcentral lists this ribosomal RNA (305 nucleotides) under uncultured bacterium. Its description in RNAcentral is "bacterial SSU rRNA". It matches the Rfam family "Bacterial small subunit ribosomal RNA", at positions 335 to 656 of the family's 1533-position model. The record is from RNAcentral.
UCGCCUACGGGGGGCAGCAGUGGGGAAUAUUGCACAAUGGGGGAAACCCUGAUGCAGCAACGCCGCGUGAGUGAAGAAGUAUUUCGGUAUGGAAAGCUCUAUCAGCAGGGAAGAAGAAAGACGGUACCUGACUAAGAAGCCCCGGCUAACUACGUGCAAGCAGCCGCGGUAAUACGUAGGGGGCAAGCGUUAUCCGGAUUUACUGGGCGUAAAGGGAGCGUAGAGGGCAUAGCAAGUCUGAAGUGAAAGACCGUGGCUCAACCGCGGAACUGCUUUGGAAACUGUUAAGCUGGAGUACUGGAGAG